CCUACGUGGGGCUGCAGUGGGGAAUAUUGGACAAUGGGCGAAAGCCUGAUCCAGCCAUGCCGCGUGUGUGAAGAAGGCCUUCGGGUUGUAAAGCACUUUCAGUGGGGAAGAAAGCCUUGGGGCUAAUACCCUCGAGGAAGGACAUCACCCACAGAAGAAGCACCGGCUAACUCCGUGCCAGCAGCCGCGGUAAUACGGAGGGUGCGAGCGUUAAUCGGAAUUACUGGGCGUAAAGCGCGCGUAGGCGGUCUGAUAAGCCGGUUGUGAAAGCCCCGGGCUCAACCUGGGAACGGCAUCCGGAACUGUCAGGCUAGAGUGCAGGAGAGGAAGGUAGAAUUCCCGGUGUAGCGGUGAAAUGCGUAGAGAUCGGGAGGAAUACCAGUGGCGAAGGCGGCCUUCUGGACUGACACUGACGCUGAGGUGCGAAAGCGUGGGUAGCAAACAGGAUUAGAUACCCCAGUAGUC
Molecule: ribosomal RNA, 465 nt
Filed under: Vreelandella stevensii
Lineage: Bacteria; Pseudomonadati; Pseudomonadota; Gammaproteobacteria; Oceanospirillales; Halomonadaceae
Description: partial 16S ribosomal RNA
Rfam family: Bacterial small subunit ribosomal RNA
Source: RNAcentral